Molecule: ribosomal RNA, 49 nt
Filed under: uncultured Russula
Lineage: Eukaryota; Fungi; Basidiomycota; Agaricomycetes; Russulales; Russulaceae
Description: partial 28S ribosomal RNA
Source: RNAcentral
UGACCUCAAAUCGGUAGACUCCAGCCAUUCAACUUAAGCAUAUCAAUAA